AUUGAACGCUGGCGGCAGGCCUAACACAUGCAAGUCGAGCGGAUGAAGGGAGCUUGCUCCUGGAUUCAGCGGCGGACGGGUGAGUAAUGCCUAGGAAUCUGCCUGGUAGUGGGGGAUAACGUCCGGAAACGGGCGCUAAUACCGCAUACGUCCUGAGGGAGAAAGUGGGGGAUCUUCGGACCUCACGCUAUCAGAUGAGCCUAGGUCGGAUUAGCUAGUUGGUGGGGUAAAGGCCUACCAAGGCGACGAUCCGUAACUGGUCUGAGAGGAUGAUCAGUCACACUGGAACUGAGACACGGUCCAGACUCCUACGGGAGGCAGCAGUGGGGAAUAUUGGACAAUGGGCGAAAGCCUGAUCCAGCCAUGCCGCUUGUGUGAAGAAGGUCUUCGGAUUGUAAAGCACUUUAAGUUGGGAGGAAGGGCAGUAAGUUAAUACCUUGCUGUUUUGACGUUACCAACAGAAUAAGCACCGGCCAACUUCGUG
Molecule: ribosomal RNA, 484 nt
Filed under: uncultured bacterium
Lineage: Bacteria
Description: partial 16S ribosomal RNA
Rfam family: Bacterial small subunit ribosomal RNA
Source: RNAcentral